Molecule: long non-coding RNA, 15347 nt
Filed under: Capsicum annuum
Lineage: Eukaryota; Viridiplantae; Streptophyta; Magnoliopsida; Solanales; Solanaceae
Description: long non-coding RNA (CANN_LNC011318)
Source: RNAcentral
GUAACGAGAGAUAAAGCCAAGGUUCCUUGCUACGCUACAUAGAUGUUCGUACGAUUCUUGUGGAUUUUAGGUGUGUUUGAAUUCAGCCUCUCGUUAGGUCUUCACUGAAGGAUUGUCCACCUUCUCAAGCCUCUCUACCAUACCCAACGAAAGUGACAACGGAUGACUUCCAUUACUAAAUGGAAGAACUUUUCAAACUAGUUGAUAGUUGUUCCCUGCCCCACAAUGGGUUCUAAUUUACUAAAUCACAUGUUUCUGUUUUCGGAACAUCACAUGUAGACUUUUUUGGGGGAGAAUCACUCGGUGCGGGGCCUCCCGUAUGAGGUCAGGUGAUGGUCAACAACUCAGGCAGGAAAUGCUGAAAAACGGCUAACGAUGCAAGAGCUCUCUUCCCCUUAUACGCUCUAAAAAAAGGGUAUGUCGGGUUUUUGGACCCUAUGUUGAGUAAGGAUUCCAAACCUUCCAAAAGUGAUAGGUAUGUGUUCUUUCUUGGCACUCUCUUUCUAUAUUAUGCCAACCUAAAAACAGCGAUGGAAAGUGGAUUUCAGGUUCGAUAGUCUCGAGAAGGUAUUAGCCACCGGUGACCAUACUUUCGUAAAAGCACCAUUGGGUGGUGGUUCCUCUCCUUCCUCUUAAACCUCGAACAAAAAAUCGAUCUCGCCAUCAGCUCGACUAAGAGUUCCGAAUCGAAAAAGUCAACGGAACUUUGCUUAAGACGAAGGAAGCGAGUGCCGAAAAAAAACCGCUUUCUUAAGGCUUCAAACUACUAGUCAUUAAGACUACUAUGAAUGAAAGGUAAGGAAGUCCUUUUCUUGACUUAGCCUGCGUGCAUUAUACCUAACCCUUUCCCAAGAUUUCAAUCUCAACAAAGAAAUGAAAGCAUAACUCUUUGCUCUCUUGCAGCGCCUCUUAGUCUUUUAUUUUAGCCUGCCUUGUGAAGAUCUCUCGGGUGUCUACGGCAGAUCCGAUCAGUCUCGUGAUGAAGAGAAUUUCCGAUGUUGAAAGGUAUCGUCACGACAACUCAAUUUGUCCGGUAAACUACUCGGGGCUCCCCAUGGUUUAGUAAAAGGGAGGGGAUAUUUUUUCUUCAUCCGGGGGUUCAUUCAUUAUGAACUAAAAAGUGGUUGGCUGAUUAGUGAGGUCUUAAAAACGUCAUAGAAUUCAUGAUCGGCCAUUCCAUUUUUGCUUUCAGCAAGUAGGCGACGCGAAUCUAUGCUUUCUAUCUUUCAAUCGGAUACCAAUUGCUUGGAUGCGUUUGAAAGCCUCGAGAUGACUUGCAGAAAAAAUGCUUUCUAGGUUUGUCUUGUGUCUCCGAAACAAACGGUCCAUUUGAAAGCAUACUCUUUGCUCUCUUGCAGCGCCUCUUAGUCUUUUAUUUUAGCCUGCCUUGUGAAGAUCUCUCGGGUGUGUACGGCAGAUCCGAUCAGUCUCGUGAUGAAGAGAAUUUCUGAUGUUGAAAGGUAUCGUCACGACAACUUAAUUUGUCCGCUAAACUACUCGGGGCUCCCCAUGGUUUAGUAAAAGGGAGGGGAUAUUUUUUCUUCAUCCGGGGGUUCAUUCAUUAUGAACUAAAAAGUGGUUGGCUGAUUAGUGAGGUCUUAAAAACGUCAUAGAAUUCAUGAUCGGCCAUUCCAUUUUUGCUUUCAGCAAGUAGGCGACGCGAAUCUAUGCUUUCUAUCUUUCAAUCUGAUACCAAUUGCUUGGAUGCGUUUGAAAGCCUUGAGAUGACUUGCAGAAAAAAUACUUUCUAGGUUUGUGUUGUGUCUCCGAAACAAACGGUCCAUUUAUUGAUGGGCGAAUGACGGGGAUUGAACCCGCGCGUGGUGGAUUCACAAUCCACUACCUUGAUCCACUUGGCUACGUCCGCCCCUACCCCCGCACAGGUUGAAGUCUCUAUCUACGAUCAGAUCCUUUCUGAACUCCCCUAUAACCGCUUAUCAAAGAGAAGCUUUUUCCGUCACUAUAGUGGCAAGUCUAUUGUUGUGUUUCGGAAUUAGGGGAAACAAAGCUUCAAACAAAGAGGUUGGGCUGUUCACUUCAUUGAUUUGACUUCACUUUACUUAAGAUUAAAGAUAGGGGCCGGGCGGGCAGUGAAGGCUCAUUUAGUAGACAGCGAGCGAGGUCCAAGCACCUACUCCUAUCAAAAUGAAAAGCAGCAACCGGAACUUGAACUUGAAGAAGCGAGCCUCUAUCAGAGAAAGCCAUUGCGCGCUAGCCCCUUGUAUAGGGUUCCAAACCUGCGCACCCCUAAACUACAAGCUUUCUUUGAAGCCCCUACAACAUGGGAUAUUUGAAGAAUCCCCUUUCUACAAACCUUUCUAUAAUAUAAGAGAAGCUCUUCGAGCUUUCUUCGCAUGCUUGAGCGCAUCCCCUUUCUAUUAGUAAGGUUGUCAAAUUUCCUUUAGUUCCUUUAUGACUAUAAUAUAAAUAAUAGGGGUAGGGGGGCGCUAACGAGCAAGAAAAGGGGUGCGCUAAGGCGCAACGGCUUUCGCGCAGCUGCUACGCCCUUGCUUCUUGCCUUAUCUUUUACUAAGAAACUAAUCUAAAUAGAAGCCCUUCUUUCUCAAAGUCAACUUUCUCCCUUCUUGCUUUAGUGAAAUAGGGGGCGCUAACGCGACCUUCCUUCAGCUGGCUUCGCCCUAUCUAUUCAUCUAUUUUCUCAAAUGGAUAUUUAGGGAUCUCUCUUGUUCAUAGAUCUUGAAACCAGAUCAAUAUCCAUUUCUCAAUAGAUCUAUUUAUCGAUAGAAAGAUAUAGAUCUCUAUAUGGAUCUAUCUCCAUAUCUAAAUAUGGAAGAACCGACACUUAAAGGGCGUAACCAACGGAAGGUUCUCACCCUGUCCCCGACAUUGUUCUCCGACGAUGUCCCCUGGGCAAAAGGUGGCCCUUGGGCCACUUGACUGGUUGGAAAGGAGCCAUUACCGGCUGAACCAUCAUCAUCUGCUUGCUUGGUCACUUUCGUGAUAAGGCGCUUAAAAGGAUUCUGGAUUAUAUAUAUUUUGGGAACUAAAAGAGUGGCUGGUUGAAGGGAAAGGGAAGCCAGAAAAUCCAGGGAAUCGACGUCCCCCAAACCAUUAGACUUCCAGAGAAGAGGAGUCCGGUCGCCAUUAAAACCCUUCUCGUAAACCGAGGAAAUAUCAAAUCCAAUUCCGAUACUGGGUAGGAUUCACCAGCCGCUAGACAUAGCACAGAAGCCAACAGUAGUAUGAAUGGGACAGGAACUAUUCGACCUCUUUCAGGAAAGGGCCUUACACACGGGGACACUGGCUGAUCCCGCCGACAGGAGCAAAGGAAGGUCUCUUUCGCCUACGAGCAUUUGUACGAAGAAAGGAGUCUCGUACAAAGGGUUGGAAAGAAGGCUUUUACCUUAUUUCAGGUGGGUUAGUGCGUAUCUGUUCGGGCGGAGGCGGACAAUGAAAAGACAGAAAGGAGCGAAUGAUGCCAACCAACCCGACAAAGACAUUCAGAUAUGAAAAAGAUAAAGAAAGACGUGUUAAGCUUGUGUUUUCCCAGCCGACUCGCACACGACCAUCUUUCUUCCUAAAACUUAGUCUUGAAAGCGUUGCAUGUUGCUACUAGAGGGCAAAGAAAUUAGCUUAUGAUGAAGAAUAACAACAAAAAAGCUUUUGUCCCCAAUCGAGGUGAUAGACCACCUUAUGGCCGAUGUGAUUACCAGCCAAAGGGCAAAAAGAUGGGGUUGAAUGCGACUCUACCAAUACCAAUCUCCUCUGGAGCAAGGAAAAGCAACUCUGCCUGGUAUCGGUAACGAUUAACAUAUUCUUUUUUUUUAGAGAUGGGAACCCUUACUUAAGAACAGAGAGUGACCGAGCAGUAUAGUAGUCUGCUGGACAAACUUGGGGUAACAAUCUCGGUAGCAAAAUCGAUAAUAUCUGAGAACGGAACCAUCGACUUUGCUAAGAGAUUUUGGACUAAGGAUAUGCAAUUAGACUUAUCGCCAAUUCCUCUUAGGGCAUUAACUGCCUGUCGAACGACUGUGGGUCUUUGCCAAUUAUCAGCAAGAUAUUCGAUUUCUAUAUCGAUGCUUCAAAGGCUGGGAGGGGCAGGAUUCAGAGUUCGGUCGCGCUUACAUUCUACUCAAUCUAAGCGUUGGGAACGAUUAAAAGCUGCUGCUCAGAAACUACACAGGUCAUACUUACUAUCUUUAGAAUAUUGGAUUGGAAGGAAGGGCUUCGCUUUCCGAUCACUUUUUGAGGCCGGUUUGGAUGAGCGUGGGCAAGUUCGGGAUUCACUAUCGCUUUCCACUUAGAGCGGCUCACCCCCUUGUCACUUAAAGGGCGAAGUCGCCGAAGCGAGUCGAAAGGCCAAAGAGUCAUCUUUGAAGGCUACUAUGCAUCCUUAUUCAGUAGAGUGUAAGGUAGGUUUGGGUAUAGUAGGACUUGAACCUGCGACCGUUAGGUUAAAAGCCCAAUGCUCUACCAAUUGAGCUAUACACCCAAAAAAAGAUGUAGUAGUAAAUAAGGAUUGGUACGGAAAAGAGGCUGGCCCCCAUUCUUCUCAUCAUAUUAAAACAGCACGGCUCUGUAUGAGGCUCGUACAGCAGAGCAAGCGGAAGAAAACAUAACGUCGCGCGUUAGCACUCCUGCAAGAAAAGGGAUGCGCUAAGGCGCAAGGGCUUUCGCGCAGCUGCUACGCCCUUGCUUCUUGCCCCUUAUUUCAAACUCAACGAAAGCCUUGAUCGAUAUGAGAAAGAUGGGCUCAAGCACCUAACCUAUAUAAGGGGCUUGGGCUCGAAAGCCGGCCUUACUCAACAAGCACCUUUCUUAGUAAGGUUGCUUUUUCCACUCAUUAAAGAUUCUAUCUACAAAAGAAGGUAAAGGGGGGAUACUCAGAUUACUCUCACUGACACCAGAGAAGGUGAGGUCGUCUUUCUUUCCAGCCGCCAUACGGUUCGCCUUAAAGCCUUAAGGAGAAGGGGAGGAGCAGUUAUCUAUGUAAUUACGUUGUUGGCUGUUGAUCCGGUCGAGCACUCUCUUUUCUUUGUCCAAUUCCUUCUUACUAAACAAGACUGACUUCUUACCAACCUGCGAAGGGUUGUGAGGCUGGACCAGGUAUGAGGAAUGAAUCUAUAUCUGUGCACGAAAGUUGCUGGCCGGCGGCCCCUCAACUGUUCGAGCGUAAUGCAGUGGUGUUCGUUCCAAUUCGAUAAAGGUAGAAUGCCUAGUCGAAGGUCCAGUACAGUAGGUAGCAGGCGUGUUCGUUUUGGUUCCCGACCGAGAAUGGUAAAUAGGCGAUGCACCAUCUUUGCUGCUACGUAUGUUUUCCUUGACUUGACAGAUUCAUUCAAUUGAACCCACACUUAAAGGAGGACCACAAGCUCGGGGCCCGACGAAACAGAAAGUUUCAGCAUGUUGAAAAUGGGGUUAGCAUGAAAGAAAGAGCCCAGCAUUCAUUUCUGAAUGAAUAUUCAUAACUGAGUCUACUAAAAGAGGGACCAGCCUCGUCUUGGUGAUUAGAGGACACCUCUGAUCGUUCACCUCUAAUGUGACACGUUCCCUCCUAGUUAUAUGAUCAACGGGAUCAGUCGGCUAGAGAGCGGGGCUAUUCUUCUUCCGGGGAGACAAAGUCGUCCCUUCUACUGACCGAACCCUCAGUUCGGGGGCCUUCGUCAACAUGUUACGAAGCUCCAGUCUUCGGUGGGUCACCAUUACUUGACUUAGAAAGGCGAACAUCUGGGCAAGGGAAAGCGCAGUGCGCCUGGUGCAAAUGGCUUUCUUUUUUCAUGAUAUACCAAUCAGAAUGGAGGGUCCUACCUACGUACAUGAUUGAUAGAAUCACUACGUAGGGGGGCGGUCAACUUGAUGCGGGAGAGGCAUGAGUGCAGUUCAAUCUUAUGGUGUAUUCGUUUGUAGUGAGUAGGGCCUCUUUCUCGUUGAUCAGUUCGCCUCCACUCUAUUGAAAAGUAGGAAUUCCUACGGCGGUUUUAUCAACGAACGCGUCUCGGGCCGGAUUGACUAACCUAACCCACCCUGUUGGAGGCUUUUCCAUAGUUGGGUGUCCGCUUUAGUGUGAUUUACGAAGGCUAGGCUAGGUUUGGUAAUAUCCAAAACAAAUGAAAAGAGAUCGGGGUCGAUAGGUGGCAGUUGGCAAGGAACUUGAUCCCCCCCAAAAAAAGGGGGAAGCCGCGGUCGAACUCAAAUUCUGGAAAUAAGUCGGGGCCCUUUUACCAAGUCUACCAGAUAGAAGAUGAUAGAGGGCCAACUAUCGUUGCCUUGCACAAGACGGUGCCCUUUCACUUCGAGUUCCUUCCUUCAUAGUCAAAUCUGAUUAUACGCUUUAGCGAUGUUACCUACCAAAUAAAAGGCCUGCUAGGUGAUCAAAAUCGCUCAGGUGAGGACUCACUCACUCAUCUACUCCUUAUCUACUCCUACCAAAUAAAGGGCUAUAAGAUAAGAUACAGUUCUUGUACUACUUGAUUGACUGGUAAGAAAGAGCUUCCGUAAGAACUGGAAGACUCUUGUAUGUACGGUAACCCUCUCUUCCUCUACUGGUGGAUUGUUGCACAGAAAGGGCGAAAGAAGGAAACUUUCUUAGCGCGCUUUUCAAGCGCUUAGCUGCUGCUAGUGGCGGGGCGACAAGUCCAUGUUGUUCAGUUGGAAGCCUAAGCCAAGAAGGUACGAACGAAGUGAGGGGCCCCUUUAGAAGAUAAGGGGCGGCUUUCUUAUGGUAGUAAUUACAAACAUCUCUCCUCUUCUCUUAGCGUGCACAGUUUGCUUACAUGCCGCCUUAGGCACAUCUCUCUUUCUUAGUUUCAUGCUGGACUAAUGAUAAUGAAUGAAAGUCAGUCUUUUAGUAAACGUAUAUAAGCAGCUCUUUAGUGUAUAAGCAAUUCUUUAGUGGUCGCACCGAAAGUACGGUGGAGGUUGGUUGAAGAUGAUGUUACGCGGCGUUCAGAACCAGUCUUGAAGUGAAUGAAUUAUAAAGAAGUAAGGAAAUGAGACGACUCUUUCUUGAACUAUAUCAUAAACAGAUCUUCCCCUCCACACCAAUCACGAGUUUUUCUCUAUUCCUCUCGUAUAUCGUCGUAACGCCCUUAAUGCUAGGUUUUGAAAAAGACUUUUCAUGUCAUUCCCAUUUAGGUCCGAUUCGGAUCCCUCCGUUGUUUCCUUUUCCUUCCGCACCUUUUCCUCGAAAUGAGAAAGAAGAUGGUACACUUGAAUUUUAUUAUUUAAGUGCUUAUUGCUUGCCAAAAAUCCUACUUCUAUAAUUGGUAGGUCACCGGGUUAUUUAAAAAAGUCGUGUUUUUUGUGGUUUUCCCAUGUUACAACUUCCGUACCAAUUCGGUCGAUCCGGAAUGGAUCGGUUAAACAUUCCAUUAGGUAGCCUGGUCUUGACUCUUCUGUGUGGUAUUCAUUCUCGUUCGGCUCUUGGAAUCACAUCCAGCAGUGGUUGGAAUAGCUCGCAAAAUCCAACCACUUCACCUACUUCAUUGCCCCCAACCGUUUCUCGUACCUCUAUUGAAACAGAAUGGUUUCAUGUUCUUUCAUCGAUUGGUUAUUCCUCUCCGUUCGUAUCUCUUUUUCCAAUUUCGGUCUCCGAUUAGUUCCAAGAUUGAAUGGCCAAUUCUCCUCCGAACCCUCGAUUCCAUUGUUUUCCAAGAAUGUUGAGCCGGGUAUGUAAGCCAUGUAUCUGGGAGGAACAACAAUAAAAGAAGGGCUUUCGGUUUUGGUCUUGCCGCUAUUUUCAAAAUAUAUAUAUAAGAAUCCCUUUUUUAAAAGAAAGAUUAUAUAUAUGUCCAAUCUCUAGUGGUGGUGGAACCAAACAAGAUGUAUGUCGUCCGACCCGACCUCAGACUCUUUCUUCCCGACCUAUUUAACUCUCUGGCCAUAGUUAUUUAGGUGGUAUUACGAGAUCGAAUUCCUCUCAGGAACACACGAAACAAAGAUAUGAACUGGGUAAAUAGAAAUGGAAAAGAGAUGUUUCUAUUUCAUCCAAAUUAGUUGCUUUUUCUACAUCCAUAUGAUCUACUAAAGUAGAUCGGUAUUGACCAUAUAAUAAAAGUAGAUCUUGGUCCAUGGAGUCCCAAGAAGGUAAGAACUCCAACCUGCCCGAUGCUUCUUCGGCCAAAUACGAUAUACAAGUGGGACCUGCACUAUGAGCAAGCUGUGCGAAAAACCGCUUCUUUUUUCCGGUUCCGAAACAACUUGGGCGAAAUAGGGUCCAGCCCUCUUCACGAACUUGUACAAUCGAUGCCACAAAGAUAGCCAACUCUAUUAUCAAAGAAAUAAGGAAAGGGGCGACAAUUUGGCACCAGAUAUCCAGAGGUGUGGAAAUAGCAGCUGUGACAAGCAGAAAAACCAUCAAAAAACAACGAGAGUUCGUGGAGGUUUUUACAGAAAGAUCCCUUGGUUCUGGCAAAUGGAUCACAAUUACAGGUACCUGGGAGCAUACCGAUGGAAUGAACGAAAUACGAACAGUUAACAUAAUAUGGUCAUAGAUCUUGGCUUCUAACUUGAUCAUGAGCGAAUUUGUUGAUGUUGCACCCAUGAAGUAUGGAAAGUGCCAAACAUUGGGAACUACCCGGGGAGGAGUUAGGAACAGGAACAAGGAGAAGCGAGAACCACUUAAAUAGAGGAAUCGAUUGUAUUUCGUCCUUUGUUCCUCAUAGCAACUGGGGAUCAAAAAGCACCAAAUUUGAUGACUUAUUAAGGGAAAGACGAAGUAAGAGCAUGCUAUUGGAGACGUUGCAACAUAUGUCGGGAAGGCCUCCGUUGAUUGUGUACGAACAAAAUACGAAUCCAAAGGCAGGGUAAGAAAGGGUUUAGCUAAUGGAAAUAUUAACUCUUCCGGGAACCAGUAACGCGUAAACCAUGUCAAACCAAGACCAAUCAAUAUCCGAACGGAACGGAUUCGAACUUCUCCUAGAAUAGUUUCCGGUGCGAAAUGAAAUUCAUAGGAUAUAUAUGAGUAAUUCAAAGGAAAAAUCGAAAUAUUUGAUAGGAUUGAUUAUGUAUCAGAACUAAAUCACUACGAAUCAGAACUAAAUCACUACGAAUCAGAACUAAAUCACUACGAAUCAGAACUUGAAAGAAUGCAUAAAUAAUGUUAUGGGGCUUCCCCGUCGAGAAUAAAAAGUCUUUCUCUUAGAGAGGCGUUUUCUUCGCUUAGAAAAGCGUUCCUUCUCGACAGGGAUUCCCAUAACUCUUUUAAUUCUCGGCGAUGUUGCAUUUCCAAUUGGGCUUGGUGCUUUUGUUUUAAAAAGCCCUGGAAAUGCUCUGCCUGGGUCCUUUUUACCUCAAAAUAGAAUGGGGAUGUCUCUCUUUCAAAAGACAAACUUUCCAUGACCUGGCAUAGAGCAGGGUGAUUGAAUUCGAGGGGUUCAAGGUGAAAUUUGAGUAUGGAAUCUAGGUCUUGUGGAUCAAUGAAUAAUUGGGGAUCCUCUCAACCAUAAAAAAUGAGUUGAUAGAGAGAGGAAAUCUGGUCGCGAGUUACAAAACACAUCUCCGUGUUUAGGAAGUCUCGGACCAUUACUUCAUAUGUGGCUGAAUGUAUCGGGGUCGUUUUUAGCACUUGAUGUACAUAUUCCACCCAUUCUGUGUCCGACUGUUUCAGAUAGAACUCUAGAAGGUUUAGUUCCGAGGGAAGAAUCCCACAAGGAGAAAGAAGGAUAUGAUUGUUGUUGUGCCAAAGAAGAAAACCCGCGCGCAUUAUUAUAAAGAAAAUCACAAACAAUUUCAAGUAUAAAACGACCCGUUGAAAGGCCGAAUUCUUUACAUAAAGAAAGUUAAGUCGUUCAUCUAUAUUAAAAAACCUAAGAAGAACAAUAAUAACAUUGAAAAGGCAUGACCAGAAGAAUUGUGUGAAAGAAGUGAAUUUAUCUAGUUGAGGCAUGAUUCAUUGAGACAAUCAAAUUCCCUCCAGAAAGCUGAACUCCGUCAAGCCUGUAGGAGUAGUGAAGAAUGUGAGUGAGUUGUGUGGUUUUUUGUUGACCAAGAAAGAAAUGGGAGUGUUUGGGCGUACAUUGCAGAUCCACCGGUGGAGGUCCCGUACUAGAUUGACUUUCUUCUCUGACACUCUGGGGAUCAUCUUAAAGCGUCUUCUUCUUUGGCUAUGUGUUCCUGUAUAAGGGAGGCAUUUUGAUGACGUCAGUGAUCUUUCAGGCACUCCACCUCGACCAACUCAUUUCUUGGUUGAUCGACUGGCAAACGCCCGAGGCACAAAAGAUCAUUGAAAGGUCGAUGAUGUUUAUAGCCAUUCUUUCUUUGCUUUUUCACAACUUGUAAAGGUAGCCAUAGGGGAACCUGUGGCUGGAUUGAAUCCUUAUUUUAUUUCGGCAUCCCCCUCCUUGCGGUUAAGGUAAGGACUUCGGGCAUGGCCAGCUAAGGCUAAAGUUCCAUUAAAGAGCGUUUCCACGUGCGUCACCCAUCUUAUCUAUCUGAUGUCUACUCUAACCUUUUAGAGUGUGGAUUUCAUAGUUUCUAUUGGGAGCAGGCUUUCGAAUAUAUAAAACUCAUUUAUGGUUUUCAAUAAUUAGUUCCAAGUCAGCCAUGUACUACUAUCGGUCAUACAAUUGUUUUUUAAUUGUCUUUCUUUUUUUCAAUGCCCGCGGGCCACCUAAUAUUUUGGAUCGUCCUGCUGAUCCGGCUCCGCAGAUGUAGGUGGGAUUUGCCGAACUACAUCACCAAAGCGACUCCUCAUGAUAGGAGAGAAAGAAAUUAGGGGAAUUUAGAACGGAUUCCACUUUUCUAUAUGCUAAUUCGAAUCUGGCGGGUCGCUCCUUUCUUCGUUUGGGGUGUCUCGUGAGCUCUUUAUGGAAAACUUAUUCAUAUUAUUCUCCUCCCUUUUUUCCUAUCCUAUGGAUCAAAAGCUAUGAUUAACUCAGCUCUGACCUAGACUACAGUGCCCCUAGGGAAUGCACAUUCUCUAUCCUAUCCAAAAAAUAGGGACGCUUAUUAAUAGAAAAUUCAACAACGAAAUCUCAAACUUUUUUACCGCGCACCAAUGUCCGCCUUCUUGUACUGAUGUGGCAAAGUGAAAGUGUAAUUAAGCAAGAUUGACCGCCCUUUCAGUAGUAGUAGUGUCUACUGCCUUUCAGAAUGGCUACUAACAUAUUGCACGAGGUGGCUAACUCGCGGAAUAGCUUUUGGGUUGGCAGAAUCUAAAUAACCCCAAUGGUGAUUCCGAGACUUAUCCUACCUACUCAAGCGGCAAUCAAUACACAUUCAGUGAUUUCGAAUAUCACUUACGACAUUUCGAAAUCAGGGUUUGGGGGUUCAAGCUAUAUAUUCAUUGAUAUUGAGGAAGUAGAGGCAGAUUAAAUCUGUGCCAUCAACUUGACUACAUGGAACUAUCAAUGACGCGUUCAAAGGAAUCCUUUCUAUCCUGUGAGCUCGAACCGGAAGUUCAAGCCCUGCUCUUUCCCAGUCUCCCUUUAUACACUGCCUGCUUUCUUCUCCUGAUCCUCCUUCCGAUGCGGAUCCAACUCUCUGUUUUUAUGAACCAGUUAAACUCUCCAUCUAUGUCUGCAUCCGAGCGAGAAGAGAAGUCGAGUCCAUCUUUGUCUCCACUCAACCCUAGCUCGCUAAGCUGUUGAUUUCCAUGGAUCCUUAGAAACUUUGAGUCAUGAUGGAAAACGUACCCUCGCGAGAGAUUGAGAUAAAAAAAAGGAUGGUUUAGAUGCGGGGAAGAGGGGAACGAGAUGGCUGGCUAAGCUGCUCCACCAGGUCUCAUUUCUGGCCGGGAGAUGGUUUGUAUGGAUGGUUCGGUCAGCUGGUUUCGGAACCACGAGCUUCCUGAGAGAGUUUGAAUUAGAUUCAUUGUUUGAAAACACGGAUUUGGUUCACUGUCGGUCGAUUGACUGGUGGUUUGGUUGUUCUUAAGGCUAAGGGAUGGGGGAUGGGGGCAAAGAGAAGAAGGGCUAAGGCCUAAAAAUUUCACUGAUUGAUUCUUUGAUCCCGUCCACAGGUUCAGUGGUAGGUGGUUCCCCUUGACCUAGCUUUUUCUCUGCAGAGAAAGAAAGGGAUCAAAGGCAAUAAAACCUACGAUGUAUCCUCAAUCUUCCGAGGGGUACGGAGCGGCAUCGGAGUAGCCAAUAAGCUAAUCCUUUCCCAGUGACCCAUCUAAUUGAUUUGAUCCAGUGCAGAAAGAAGCGAGUGAGCGGCAAAUGAUCAAAUAUCGGACCUGGUGAAUAUCUGUCUCUCAAUCCCGGGAUUCCAAUCCAAAUUAUGCAUUGCCCGACCGCACUAGAUUCUUGAUUCGCUGGGAGAGAGUAGAGAGUCAAGGUUCGUUGGAAGUACUUCCUUUCUAUUAGUGUCACCGAAAAGGAUGAAAAGAGAUAAGAUGCUGGUGGUUAGCCUGCCCCGGACUCGUAAUUGAUAGUUUCUGAUGAAUGGAGAUAGCCUUCACUGAACGAUGGGAAUACCAAUUGAGACUAGGAGAGGUGGCCUCAUAUCCCGUCCCUGGUUCCGGCUCUCCGAAAGCAGAGUAUACGGGGGCGGCAGAUGGAUUUGAAGUUGAGGGAAACCUAAAGGACAAAAGAAAGAGAUUUAUUUUUAGAUGCGGAUUACCGCUUCUGAGCUUCGAUGAUCGGGAGGGCUUGAUAGCUUCUAUCCAGUGAAGGGCAUGAGAGGAAGAAAUAAAUGGAGAACUUGGGCCUCUUCGGAUGGGAGUUGAUGGCGGCCUUCAAUGGUUCCCAAAAUGGGCAGUUCCCUUCUCUUGGCAGCCGCAGAUGGGCUUUCACACUCCUUCUCUAUAUAAGAUCCAUAGCUUGAACAAGACAGCUGCACUGGGAUACUCAGAAAGAAGUAAAGCGCAUCCACAACUGCCGAAGAAAGAACAGGAGAAUCUAUACUAUCUUCCGCAACUUCCGAAAGAGCCACAUCAAGAACAAGAGCUGGUACCGCAUGUGCCGCAGGACAGGCAGGAAUGGGAUAUAUAUUUGAAACAACAAUAGCAAGGAGAUUCGCCAACAGGAGAGGGCGGGCCCCCCGCGCUAUUAGUGUCUUCUAUAUAAGAAGAGAGUCGAGUUUGAUGAGUGUCGACUGAGGUUGCGCAGAGCAAGCAAGGCGAGUUGCUUGCAAUGGUUGCUUGCGUGCGAGGCAAGGUAGCGCAAGCAAGGCAACGGUAUAAGCAAGGUAGCUUGCAAGUCCCACCUCGAGCAACAGGUUACCUAAAAACAAAUCAAAUCAGAGUCCUUGGUUCAUUGUUCAAUUGUUGAGAUCGAAUCUGACGGUAGCCGAAGGCUACUACAAUGUUUUGUAAGCUCAGGUUAUCGGCAGAAAAUGUAGUGCAAGCGAAAUUCUCGCCAGACGAUGUCAUGCAGCCCAGAUGAGUAGAGACAAACGUCUAGCAAAUCCGAGUAAGCGACAGGCGAGCAAGCGCAAGGCCAACCGAAGGAAGAAGACCAGUUGAAUGCAAGUUCAAUCACGAGGAGAUGGGCAAGUCAAGCCUGCUGGUAGACAGUAUUCAAACUAGGGGCAGAAGUCAUCAAGUUGCUUUCAGUCGUCCUUCUCCUUAUGUACAAGGCACUAAACUAGUGAUGUUAAGCAUUUGCCCUCGAGUGAAGUUCAACUCAGUUGAUUCUCAGAUAAAUCCCACAUGAAGCGAAAGUCUACGCACCACUACAUGAAAGAUCUGACUGUCUAGUCAGAAAGAGUCUUUCUAGAAGCUUUAAUUUAGGAGCGUUUCAUCAAACUAGAAAGAUAUGAAUCUCAGACAGAUGGUCACGUAAGUAGUGGAUCUCACGUCCUAUCCUCAAGUCUUCUUAGUGAUCGUCUGCUCUCAAUGAAUCAAUGCCCGGUGGCUCUGAAUUCAAUAGAAAUCCCGUGAGUGAAACUCUGAGUUGAAAACGACUAAGCUUAUAUGAAUCUCAGACAGAUGGUUGCGUAAGUAGUGGAUCUCACGUCCUAUCUUCAAGUCUACUUAGUGAUCGUCUGCUCUCAAUGAAUCAAUGCCCGGUGGCUCUGAAUUCAAUAGAAAUCCCGUGAGUGAAACUCUGAGUUGAAAACGACUAAGCUUUUUGCCUUGACCUUGACACUAGUCUGAGCCUUUCCCAGGGCACCUUGCCUUCUUUCCUUGGCUUGGCGGGACACAGAAAUGAUUCUUUGCUAUCUAAAGGGAGUUUCGAUUCCGCAGAACCUAUAGGAGCAAUAGACGGAGUGGAGUAUGGCUGUGAGUCAGGCGCAGUAUCCUCACUGUUCUUGUUACAGAAUCAACUCUGAACGCUGUACAUGGUUAGCUGUAAGAAAGAAUAGCGAUUGUUGAAGAAGUUUGCUCUUUCGACGACUCUUAUUGCUCUAAAUAAGCUCUCAUCCUUUAGGAGUGCAGGCACGACUAGCUUUCUCCAACCUUCUUGUGUGACCGCAUGUUGGAGAAAAGAGAUCCACAUCUUACUCUAACGGCAAUGUCAGGAUCUCAGUCUAUCUCUUUCUCACAUUUGACACUCUCUUCUAUAUACCGCUAAGUCGCAUCCAACUACCUGUACUCUAAGAAUGAAGGUUGUAAACAACCUUAACAAGCGACCACUGGACUUGUGAAAGAGAGCUGUUCUUCGCAUCGAGAAUCGACUGUUUACCCUCUCUUCUUGCAUCUGUGCAUUUCGAGCCUUGGGCAAGCUCCCGACAUGUCUACUUCAUCAAAUUCCCUGUCUACCGAAAAUGGAUGAACCUAUCCACAGGGAUUUUGAGCAUCACUUCUUUUUUUUCCCCAACGACAAAGGAACUUACGGGCGGGGCAUUUUUAGGGACUAGCCCGCUUCCCAUUACUAAAUAGGGAAAUUCCUCACACAUAAUUAAGGGAGCCAUUGAAAGGUGACUAAAACACCAGAAACGGGGACUACCCGUGCUAAUGAUAGAGGCAAGAACACUUUCCGGCCAAGUCCCAUUUAUUGAUCAUAACGAUAUCGUGGAAAUGCUACACGGACCCAUAUAUAUAGGAACAGAAAAAGAAUUACCUUGAUACUAAACCAGAUCGAGCCCGGGAUCUUCUUGGAAAUGGGAAGAUCUAGGAUAGGCGGCCAACCUCCUGGAGAGAGCGAUGUGCAUAGACCAGGUGAGUAGGGAUGCAGCUCCGUGGACCGCUCGUCGGGCCUGAUAGGUGGUGGUAUCACACCCUUCUCAAAGGAACCGUACGUGACACUCUCGCGUCAUACGGCUCCGUCCCGGAAGCAGGACCUUCCCUUUCCUUUGACCAACGGGCCCUCAAACCUUUAUGAUUUCGUGCUAAACCUGGUCUCCAUCUUUGAACUUCUCGUUCGAUGAGACCCCAGGUCUCACUGUUUCCGUUUUCUAGGUCACACCUUAACAUCGUUAGAAAGCAGAGUUGGCUAGCUGCCGGCAUAUCUUUUACGUCACCAGCCACAUAGUCCGCAGCGUCUUUCACUGCAUCGUAUUUG